GGGAGGUAGUGACAAUAAAUAACAAUACGGGGUUCUUUCGGAUCUUGUAAUUGGAAUGAGUACAAUUUAAAUCUCUUAACGAGGAACAAUUGGAGGGCAAGUCUGGUGCCAGCAGCCGCGGUAAUUCCAGCUCCAAUAGCGUAUAUUAAAGUUGUUGCAGUUAAAAAGCUCGUAGUUGAAUUUCGGGAUCAAUUUGCUGGUCGUGCCUUCGGUACGCACUGGUAUUAUUGGUUUCUCCUUUCUGAUGAAUCGCGAUGUCAUUAAUUUGGUGUCGUGGGGAAUCAGGACCGUUACUUUGAAAAAAUUAGAGUGUUUAAAGCAGGCUCACGCUUGAAUACAUUAGCAUGGAAUAAUGAAAUAGGACGUUUGAUUCUAUUUUGUUGGUUUCUAGGAUCGACGUAAUGAUUAAUAGGGAUAGUUGGG
This 423-nucleotide ribosomal RNA is filed under the name uncultured Glomeraceae. RNAcentral describes it as "SSU rRNA". It matches the Rfam family "Eukaryotic small subunit ribosomal RNA", at positions 459 to 886 of the family's 1831-position model. Lineage: Eukaryota; Fungi; Glomeromycota; Glomeromycetes; Glomerales; Glomeraceae. The record is from RNAcentral.